This 497-nucleotide ribosomal RNA is filed under the name uncultured bacterium. RNAcentral's name for it is "partial 16S ribosomal RNA". It matches the Rfam family "Bacterial small subunit ribosomal RNA", at positions 28 to 507 of the family's 1533-position model. The record is from RNAcentral.
GAUGAACGCUGGCGGCGUGCCUAAUACAUGCAAGUCGAGCGAACAGACGAGGAGCUUGCUCCUUUGACGUUAGCGGCGGACGGGUGAGUAACACGUGGAUAACCUACCUAUAAGACUGGGAUAACUUCGGGAAACCGGAGCUAAUACCGGAUAACAUGUUGAACCGCAUGGUUCAACAGUGAAAGACGGUCUUGCUGUCACUUAUAGAUGGAUCCGCGCCGCAUUAGCUAGUUGGUAAGGUAACGGCUUACCAAGGCAACGAUGCGUAGCCGACCUGAGAGGGUGAUCGGCCACACUGGAACUGAGACACGGUCCAGACUCCUACGGGAGGCAGCAGUAGGGAAUCUUCCGCAAUGGGCGAAAGCCUGACGGAGCUACGCCGCGUGAGUGAAGAAGGUCUUCGGAUCGUAAAACUCUGUUAUUAGGGAAGAACAAAUGUGUAAGUAACUAUGCACGUCUUGACGGUACCUAAUCAGAAAGCCACGGCUAACUACGUG